Long non-coding RNA from Lolium rigidum, 3515 nucleotides. RefSeq lists it as uncharacterized. Lineage: Eukaryota; Viridiplantae; Streptophyta; Magnoliopsida; Poales; Poaceae. The record is from RefSeq and is a predicted model, not a curated record. The transcript is spliced from 8 exons.
UUGUUGCUGAUUCCCUUUUCUUAUUACCCAUCAUUUUGUGCUCAUUUUUGUACUAGCAAGGCGUGUAUGAUUUCUGUGCACGGAUCUGUUUGUAUUUUAGUUGUUCUUAGUUGAUUUGAGGCGAUUCUCGUCUGCGUGUCCUCUAGAUCCGUCUCUGAAUAGAUCGUUAGAGGAGGUAUGACAGUUUUGGUUGCUUCCUCCUAAUUUAGGACAACAACCACAGAAAUUUGGUGAUGUAUGUGGCCUCGUGUGUAUGUGUUAUGCUUGCAUUACCAAUACAAUGAAUCAACACUUUUUUUAGCAUGUCGACGUUACAUUUUAAAUUCUGUUGAUGCUUGUCUGCUGGAGCCUCCUUUUGUAGCUCUCCCACAGCAUAUUGGUUAACAUUAGCGUGUUACAAGCCUUUAAUCCUAAUCGUAUCAUUACACAGUCUGCAAGGCUUUAGUAAUGAACUUAAUUGAUUUUCUUAAUUCUUAGAUUGGCAUUUUUUCAGUGUGUUUAGUUUUUUUGCAAGGGUGUUAAUUCGACCCAUCUUUUUCAUUCCAUCACUGAAGUUUUUGAUCACCAUGAAACCCCCAGGAAUAGUGUUGAAAUCACACGCCUCUACGCAGGGUACUAAAACAAGUUGUUCAUUUUUAAGUGUGCUAGCUUUUAUGAGUGUGUUUUAGAGUUUCUUUUGUUUCACUAAAUAUAUGUGUAAUGUCAGGUGCAUGUUUCUACACAAAUUCAGGUCAUUUUUAAUUUUUGAUGUAGCAUGUUAUAUGUUAAUAUGGUCAUGUUGUAUCAGUUAAUAGAUCUUGAUCUUGAAGUUACUUAAUUACAUAGGUUAUUGUCAAUUCAAGGAGGAAGAGAAUUUUAGAUGAUGCAUUGUUUGAGUUUUUCAGCAAGGAGGUAUUUCCCUUCAUUUUCCAUGGUUUUAAAAUUCUAACAAUACCAAGAAGGAAGCCUGUGUAUGUGAAUCCUUCCUGCCAUAAAGAUUAUAUGAAUUAUGGAUUUUUCUUGUUGCAUACUUAUGUAUGAGAAUUUAAUUAUCACCUAUUGUUUUUGUAUGCAUACCUGAUUUAAUAAGUCAUCCUGGACAUCAAUUGUUUUAUGCAAUUCGUGAGAGUACAUCCCUGAAUCCUGCAGUAGAAAUGAGUUUUUUAAAAUCAGCAAUUACACAAGAAAUAUGCGAACCCAGAUAAAACAGGUGUUCAUUGAUCUUCAAUCAACUUUGUUUCUCUUUUCUCCUCAGUUUUCAUCAUUAUUUUUCUCUGUCUGUUAUUUUUCAGUGUCAGUCAUUCAUUAGAUAUCUUCUUUUUGUCAGUACUGGUUAGAUGACUAAGAUAUCUUAUAUUUUUCAGUCCCUCCCUUCCUCCGUCAGUGUUCAUUAUUUAGCUCACUCUCUCAUUAUUUUCUCAUUAUUUAGCUCACUCUCUCGAAGCUUGAUGGUGACCAGCUUUGCUCACUCACUCCUUCUCUCGGUCCUUAUCAAUAUUCAGUCUAUAUUUUCUCUCUCCUCCUUUCUCUGAUUUUCUUAUUAUGCUCAGUUUGUUAUCUCACUCUCUCAGUAUUUUCUCAUUCUUUAGCUCACUCUCUCGAAGCUUGAUGGCGACUCGCUUUGCUCAGUCACUCCUCUCAGUCCUUAUCAAUGUUCUGUCUAUAUUUUCUCUCUCAGUCUUAGUCUCAGUCUCAGUCUCACUCUCUUAUCAGUGUCAUUCUUCAGUUUUGUAUCAGUGGGAUUCUUUAGUUUCAAGAUUUUUCUUAGUCUUCUAAAUUCUUAGUUUAUCUCUUAUUUCUUCAGUUUGUUUUUUCAGUCUUAAUCUCUUAUCAGUGUCAUUCUUCAGUUUAGUAUCAGUGUCAUUCUUCAGUUUCAAGAUUUAUCUCUGUUUUCAUUUUUAUUUUCUCAGUCUCUCAGUUUAUAUGUGCUCAAUCUCAUUUCUUCGGUUUAGUUUCAUCAGUCUAUCAGUCUAAACUAUUUUUCUUAAUUAUGUUUAGGUCCUUCUCUUAGUUUCCUCGUUGUGCUUCUGUUCAUGUCAAUGCUUUGAGGCGUGAGAUCCUUCUGGAAUGUAGAUUAUGCUCCUUCUAUUUCUCCAUAUUUGGCAGUGUCUCUUUGGUCACUGGCCAGGUACUUCAGCUGGAUUAUCGUCGGUUGGCCUGGUCCUGGUCUCCGUCCUUUUUCUCAGAUGGUCUGUAUCAGGAGCGUCCUGUGAAAUUUUUGUGUGGAUGGGUGCCCAGCUUCGGUUGGUUGGUCCAUUUUGGAAGAUAAUAUUAGUGUUAAGUUUGCUGACAUCAGUCCCGCUAAUUAACCCACAAAAGAUCCUGCAUUCAAGGCGGGAUUAGUUUCGCUCAUUUCUUAGUCUCUUCAUUCUUUGUGGUACUAUGCUGUGAGAAGGCAAGCGGGGAAAUAUGUCAAGGAACUUGAGUUUCCUGGUUGUGCUUCUGUCCAUGUCGAUGGCUUUUUUAGAGCCGUGAGAUCCUUCUGGGAUCCACUCCAACCUACGGCCCUAGUCGCCCAUCUCCGUUGUUCGGCAUGAAUCAGGCGCAAACAACAUGCGCUGCACUCCUCAUCAAGAUAGAGUCACAGAAACCGAUCGGUGGCAGCAGCAUAGUAAGGCUGGUGACAUAAUAGCAUCCAGUAGGGAGGUUCAAGUAGAUCCAAGCCAAUUUUUGGGGUAGAUGUACACGAUUGAUCAAGAAAAGAAACAAAAAGAGGUUCUGGGAAGCACUUGGGCGAGUGGGAGAAGUGGUGACAUUCGUGUCCUGAGAGGUUAUGAGGUACAAAGCUGGACGCCAGGCUGCUUUUGCGUGGGGAGGAUGAAGAAGAGGGAGAUGGUGAUGUGGAGUCAGCUGGUAGACCAGGCCAACGGAAAUCGAAUUAGCGUUGUGAAAGCCUGAGCAAAGGCUCAUGUCCAAAUUAUGGGCUACUUUUUCGCCACUGCUUAUGUACCAAAGCCCAGUUCAAAAAGGCUGAUGUACAACCUUAGUGAGCAGGAGAAGAAGAAACAAGCACCGGCCAGGCUUGUGCCAACCAAUGGAGGAUGGAUCCCGCCACCGAGCGGCAUGGCGAAAAUCAACGUCGAUGCAGCGGUAGGGAAGAACUCCAUCAGGGGAGCGGCGGCCGCAGUAGCCAGGAAUGAUCUUGGAGAAUUUCUUGGAGCAUCGGCGACAAUAUUCAAAGGUCGUACUGAUGCGGAGACCCUCGAGGCCUUAGCUUGCCGGGAAGCUGUCGAACUGGCAAGAGAUUUGAACCUGCACAGGAUCAGGGUGGCGACAGAUUGCCAGAAUGUGGUGCGAAGCCUGGAGGAGCGAUCGCUGGGCAGGUAUGCACAUGUCAUCAAGGAGGUUUUGGCAGCUCGGUCUGAGUUCGACGAGCUUUCUUUUAGUUUUGAACGUAGAGUUUCAAAUAAAGAGGCGCACAAUCUUGCGCGUAGUGCAGUUUUUGAAGAGUUUGGUCGUAGAGUUUGGUUUGUAGAUCCGCCUGAGGGCCUUUGUAUUCCUGUUCGGGUUUAAUAAAGGCGGAGGUUUUUGCUCAA